Cavia porcellus (domestic guinea pig) is the source of this 4656-nucleotide long non-coding RNA. RefSeq lists it as uncharacterized. The transcript is spliced from 2 exons. The record is from RefSeq and is a predicted model, not a curated record. NCBI's taxonomy places the organism in Eukaryota, Metazoa, Chordata, Mammalia, Rodentia, Caviidae.
GGCACAGCCCCAGCCCCGAACCUUCCCAGGGCCACAUGGGGACAGAGCCGGCCUAGGCUCACGCUCUGCAGCCUCCAGCUGUUCGGCUCUUCUACAUUCUUUCAUGAUUGUGUUUACUUAUCUGACUGGUCACAUUCACCCUGGGAAGCCAUCCUGGUCUUUGAGGAGCCGUGCAGUACGCAGGCCCUACGCCAGCACAGCAGACUGACGCUUUCUCCUGUAACCCGUCAGAAUUUGCCGGUGUGCAUUUACCGCCUGCGUCCUGCGUGUCUUCUCCAGUAGACUGCACUACACUGCUCUCCUCCCACACAUCCUCCGGAGCUGGCCUCAGCGCUGGUCCUUGGCAGGACCUUGAAAAAUCUUUGCAAAUGUCAACCACUUACAUUUUUUACUGUUCUCAUAGCUGGAAACCAAAAUUCUCUGGAACCAAGAGAACUGUUUAGGUUUAUGGUGUUGUUUAGGUACAUAUCAUCAGGAGGCUGAGGCAGGAGGAUUGCUACUUUCAGGCCAGCCUGGAUAACUUAGACCCUGUCUCAAAGUUUAAAAGGGAAGCUAUAUAUGAGGAUAUAGCUCAGUGUUUCCUGGAUUCAGUCCCCAGGACUAUGCACACACACACACCCACAAACCCACACUACAGUACACUUAGGUAUGUACACACAUGGCCCCAGAUAUUAGUGUCUUACUGCAAUAACUUCCAGUUGCUCAUGGGACAAGGUCCUAACUUAAAUAGCAAAGCAGUCAUUGAACUCUGGAGGUUUACAGUCAAGGAGGUUGUCUGGGAUCAGAAAACAAAUACAUUACGCAGGACAUAUGGAGACGAAUUUUUAAAAAAUGGAAUAGAAUGCAAAUACUAGAUUAUCAUCCUGCAACACAUACCCGCUUUUCCGUCUCUCACAAGUGCUAGAAUCUACGCGUUAGCAGAUUCUUUCCCACUAACCAACCCUGCCUUUGCAUCUUGUUUGUACCAGGAAGAGUGAGAGGGGCAGCUGAGAGAAGUUCCAACGUGUUUAUCCUCAAGUGAUGUUUAAGAUUCCGGGCUAACAAAAGUCUGGCAGUGAGUCUGUGUUACCUGCUGCUAGAUUCACGCUUUUAGCGAACACAUCAUAUAAACAUCUACCAACUCGAGGAUUCCCUGCUGGGAAGAGGGAACCAUGGCAGGGCAGGGCCUCCCUCCUCCACGGUGCCAGGGACAGGUCUGGCACUGCAGAGUGAACAGGACAGGCAGACACGUGGCUGUUGGGCUGCGGAAGAACCAGUGUUCUGGCGGUUCAUAAAAGGAACACAUCACACCAAGUCCCUCUUUCUUAUCUCUUACAUCCACUGCUGAUGCUUGAACAGCAGGGAGGAGUGAUAACACACUCAUGGAUUUGUUUAGGAAGCGAGCACUUCCUGUGGUAACAUCAGACAUGGCUCCUUCUUCCACCGAGCUCUAAUUCUCCAGAGAGCCACUCCACCCACAAGCAGCAGGGUAAUCGCUUCUCCUCUGGAUGAACCUGUGAUCACUGUCUCAAACACUGGAAAUGCGCCCUCAUCAAUUGGCACAGAAUAACUCUGAAUGGCAGAGAAAUCCUUAUCUUUACAGGUUAAAAGUUCCACUUUCCGCCUAAACAAAUAAAAUAGCGCAAAAAUAGAUCCGGCUGGCAACAGUUAGCAAAUAACUCUGAAAAUCACGUGUUGCAGAUAAAUUACUCUUAACCAGUUCUUUAAAUAUCAUGAUUAAUUUUAAUCCAUAAUCCCCACUUGUCACAACAGAGAAUUCAAUUCUUUUAAAAAUAAUAAGAGGGGCUGGGGAUUUAGCUCAGCAGCAUAAGCGCCUUGUCUUACAAGUGUGUGGUCGUGAGUUCCAUCCCCAGUACCGAUAAAAAAGAAAAAGACAAAAAAAAAAAAAAAAUCAGCACAUAGUAAUUAUACACCAAUUAUACAGGGGACAGGGUGACAUGUCGGUACAUGUAUACAAUGUGUGACAAUCCGAUCACAGCAAUUCACAUAUCUAUCUUGUUAAACAAGAAUGAAUUUUUUUAAUGCAUUGGUAAAAAUGUGGAAUUUUGGAAACACCAAACAUAUUUCUGUUAGGAAAUUAACUGGUCAAUAAUAUAAUCAAGAUCCAAUCACGUAUAGACAAAGCAAUCCUGAGCAACAAGAGCAAAGCAGAAGGCACUUCAGACAAUGGAGUACUACUCAGCCAUAAAGAAGGAUAAAAUUGAGGCUUUUAUAGGAAAGUAGAUACACCAUGAGGCCAUAAUACUAUGUGAAAAACAACAGACACAGAAACAGGAAACAGAGAGGAAGGAGGGGAAGGGAAAGGGAAGUCAAAGGAUAAGAUGCAACGUGUAAAUGUACCUCUUUUUCACUGUGAACAUAUUUUGCAUCUCAAGCAAAAAUAUAUUAGAAAGAAAUUACUAGAAAGAAAAGACUCACACAUAGAGAGUGGUGGGCCUUGGGGUGCAAGGGCCAAAGCCCAGAAGCCAGGUGAGGAAAGCGUUUCCAGGAGGAGGGGUCAGGAGUGACCCGGUGCUGCGGAAAGCUCAUUAUGAGUCCCAGGGACCGUGACCCUGGAGAGGGAGACAGCAGCUUGGCUCAGGAGCAGAGGCACAGAGUAAAGAAGCAGGGAGUGGGCCCAAGCGACUCUUAGAAGGAGUCUUACGAUACGACAAAAGGGAGCAGAGUGAUACGGAGCUGGACAGGGACGAAGGCCAAAGGCUUUGCUUUUAAAGAUGCAGAACAAAAUCACCCAAGUGCGCUGAUGGCAAACACCAAGCGGAAAGAAAGCAUGAACAGCACAAACCCGUGAGGGCAUCACGCCUGCUAAGGGGGAGCCGGGUGGGGAGCGGCUGGGACGCCGGGGCUCUGUGUAAAUAAACGGGAGGUGACCGGUCAGCAUGGCUGUCCAGUCACAUUUAGCCACUGUUUACAAAUGUCCAAGUUUUAAAUGAAAGCUGUAUGUAAGUUAAUUUAUUCCAUAUUCUCUCAAUGCUUACAUUUGCCCUUUUUCUUUCCCAUUUGGUGAGAUGUAGCUUUCUGUUCAGCAGCUUUGUGUGGUCUUGACGUAACGUUAGCCUGGCUCCAGCUCCUCGCCGGGCCAAUGCCCGCGUGGGCACCUGUGCCUUUCUCCUCUCCCUGUGGCACCCUUGCUUUGCCGUCUGCUCACCCUCACCGUAUCCUCACAUGCUCGAUCUCCGCGUCCUCCCCACGGGUACAGGUCCCUGCACUUCUGCCUCGUCUCUUUGGGAAGGAGAGACACCAUCUUCCUGAGGCUCUGGAAGGGGCACUUUGGUCUGAAGUCACUAAAGGACUCGUCACUUUGGCCACCGCGGCUUCCAAGCUCAGCUCCUUGGGUGUAAGCGUCAAGCAGCAGAGCAACGGACUGGACAAAGGCUGCUGUUUUUCUGGGUGAGGACAACAGGAUGAAUGGGACAAGGUCGCGGUGGUAAUGAUGGAGCGCACGCUUGCAGCUGAAUAAAAGGGACAGGCACGGAUGCAGGGAACGGGCGGCGAGGAGCCAAGACGCAUGACGGAUGGGAGGCCUCUGCUGGGCUGAAGAACCAUCUAAGUGGGACGAGGAAGAGGUAGCCAGGCUAAGAGUCGGCGUGGACAGGAGCGGAUGGACCAACCAAGGAAAGAGAAGAAAGAGCUACUGCGUCUCCAGAUGGGGCUGUCACAGGAUCACAGCACAGCCCAACAGCAACCAAGGGAAAUUAACACGUGAGCACGAAAGGCAAGCUCGGGGCCACACUCACGGCCACACUCCCGUUUCCGAAUGUCAGUAAUCUUUGUCUGCUUAUCAAAUGGAAAACAACUGGCUUCUCAGAGGCUGCAGGCAUGCUUUUAGGAGUCCAAUGGGAGGUAUAAAGUAACAAAGCACCUUCCUUCCUCUGCUUAAGAAAUCCAGUGUACCCUACUCGGAGCUGUGUCCUUUGCUUUCUGGCUGAAGGGUUACCACUGUGUUGACUACGGUGACCGUCACUUGGUAACAUGCAGCCCUUUAAUUACACACGUAGACAUUCCGAAGCAACAGUCUUGUUUUUGCCUGUAGUAAGACUUUACAAAAAUAGCAUUGUCCUGGCACCUUCUGGCAUUUUCUGUUAACGAACGUGGUUAGAUUUGUCCAUGGUGAUGUAUGUAAGUCCCUUAUUCACAGGGCGCACGGCUUCCACUGACUGUGCCACGGCUCCUCCAUCCCUCCUACGCUAGGUGGCAAUGACUGCCACGGGCAGCGUUCUUGUGCACAAGAAUGAAUUUUAUCUCAAGUGGGGUAACUAAGUCACUAUUUUAGAGUAGGGCUGCUCAAAAUGGUGGGGUCGACUGGCUUUCUACCAGCAGAAGUCUCUCUUUUACCUACAAAGUCACCAAUACUUGAUUGAUAGACACACUAGAAUUCGUCAAAAUUAUAAGCAGAAAAUCGUACCUCAUGGCUUUAAUUUCACUGUUUCUUCGAUUCCUGGUAACCUGGGUGUGUUCUGUAUGUACACUGAAGGUUUUCUGCACAUAGCCUACUUAAAUCUCUUGCUACUUUUCGACUGGUCUACUUCUUGUUUUUUCUAAUUUAUAUCCAAAAGUUCUCUAUUCUGGAUACUGAUAUUUUGUUCUUUACAUGCAUGACACAUUUCCUGUGGUUUGUCUUCACUCUUAUUCUGUGAGUUUUUCUGAUUUCCAAAA